Molecule: ribosomal RNA, 253 nt
Filed under: uncultured bacterium
Lineage: Bacteria
Description: partial 16S ribosomal RNA
Rfam family: Bacterial small subunit ribosomal RNA
Source: RNAcentral
UACGUAGGCAGCAAGCGUUGUUCGGAGUUACUGGGCGUAAAGGGUGCGUAGGCGGUCCUAUAAGUAUGGUGUGAAAUCUCCCGGCUUAACUGGGAGGGUGCGCUAUAGACUGUGGGACUAGAGUGUGGGAGAGGAAAGUGGAAUUCCUGGUGUAGCGGUGAAAUGCGUAGAUAUCGGGAAGAACACCCGUGGCGAAGGCGGCUCUCUGGGACGGUACUGACGCUGAGACGCGAAAGCGUGGGGAGCGAACAGG